ACAAUUUAAUGUUAAAAUCUGUAUUAAGU
RNAcentral lists this non-coding RNA (29 nucleotides) under Cricetulus griseus (Chinese hamster). The record is from RNAcentral. Lineage: Eukaryota; Metazoa; Chordata; Mammalia; Rodentia; Cricetidae.